UAGUACGGCGAGUGAAGCGGCAAAAGCUCAAAUUUGAAAUCUGGUACCUUCGGUGCCCGAGUUGUAAUUUGGAGAGGGCAACUUUGGGGCCGUUCCUUGUCUAUGUUCCUUGGAACAGGACGUCAUAGAGGGUGAGAAUCCCGUGUGGCGAGGAGUGCGGUUCUUUGUAAAGUGCCUUCGAAGAGUCGAGUUGUUUGGGAAUGCAGCUCUAAGUGGGUGGUAAAUUCCAUCUAAAGCUAAAUAUUGGCGAGAGACCGAUAGCGAACAAGUACAGUGAUGGAAAGAUGAAAAGAACUUUGAAAAGAGAGUGAAAAAGUACGUGAAAUUGUUGAAAGGGAAGGGCAUUUGAUCAGACAUGGUGUUUUGUGCCCUCUGCUCCUUGUGGGUAGGGGAAUCUCGCAUUUCACUGGGCCAGCAUCAGUUUUGGUGGCAGGAUAAAUCCAUAGGAAUGUAGCUUGCCUCGGUAAGUAUUAUAGCCUGUGGGAAUACUGCCAGCUGGGACUGAGGACUGCGACGUAAGUCAAGGAUGCUGGCAUAAUGGUUAUAUGCCGCCCGUCUUGAAACACGGC
RNAcentral lists this ribosomal RNA (569 nucleotides) under Saccharomyces cerevisiae (brewer's yeast). Its description in RNAcentral is "partial large subunit ribosomal RNA". It matches the Rfam family "Eukaryotic large subunit ribosomal RNA", at positions 81 to 664 of the family's 3401-position model. Lineage: Eukaryota; Fungi; Ascomycota; Saccharomycetes; Saccharomycetales; Saccharomycetaceae. The record is from RNAcentral.